CCUUGAGCUUGUGCUGUCCUCUUCAUCACGCAGCAGUCCAGCCUUUCGAAACCCGCUGGUGGUGGUAGAUUUUAUGACACUGCUCCACGCUGUUAGGAUCCACUGGCAGACUGGAGCAAAAGUUGCUCUUCGCAUGCUAUUUCCUUCUUCGACAGCCAGAUCGAUCGCCUUUAACUUGAAAGCUGCAUCAUAUGCAUUUCUUCGUGUGUUUUCCGUGAUGAGGGGGUGUGCAUGAAGCGCAAAAUGACUGAUCUGAAGAAUUUAGUUGUGCACACCCUCUGCUUUUCAUCAACCUGCUGCUGCUAAAAUCCCAUUUUGAGGUGGAGAAGAGGCAGACUGAACAGGUGUGGAGAGGGGGAGGACAGAGAAUAGAUGUUUCCGGCACCUCAAACAUUAAACUCCAACAUCCAUGACACAGAAGGACUCUGUUUUCACUCUGUCAUUCCUCAUUUCUGCACUACCUCUGAACCAUAUUUAAGGGACCUUCUCUUUCUGCCUGUAGGCCAGCACAAUUUUACAUCGGCCUGAUGUUCAGUAGUAGACGUCCACUUUUUUUUUUAGCUAAGCUGAUUUAAAUUAUUUUUUGACCUUAAGUGUAAAUUACAUUUUGUGAAUUGGAUAGUUCCCAGCUGGUAGGAAUAAGACAGCAGAAGGAGAGUAAACCUUCCUGAGACAAGACUACAGGUAUUGAACAAUAUAGAAAAUAUAGACUGUAGACUAUAGAAUUCACUAUGUGAAGUUGAUUUUGUUCUUGGUGAAGGCUGCAAAACUACUUGUGAAAAUUGUACAUUCAACUCACUGUGAAUGCUUCUGUCAGCUUUUCACUUCUCUGUGUUUAUUUUGAAUGAACAGCUCUCAAAGCUUUGUUUUUUUAUUAUCUCCUUUAAAAUGUUAAAUAAAAUGGUUAUUAAAUGUACAAAUUUCUCUUUUGAAAAUGCAUUGUGAAUAAAGGUACUAUUAUAGAUGGUGCUACCAGAGUACCAGAUCCUGUAACAAAUGGCAAAUAUUGGAAUUAGAUUUAGGAAAGAUGUAUUUUCAGAACUGUGUAUGAUUACAUAUAAAGAGAUUGACUGUUUCUUCUGUUAUGAUUGAUUUGAUUAUAUUUAUAGUUUAUACUUUGUUAUAUUUAUUAUAUUUACAGUGGAAGUGGUAAAAAUAUAUAUCAGGUGGGUGUCGGUAUCAGCUGAUGCGCAAAGUUUCAGCCUUGG
This is a long non-coding RNA of Ictalurus punctatus (channel catfish), 1208 nucleotides long. Lineage: Eukaryota; Metazoa; Chordata; Actinopteri; Siluriformes; Ictaluridae. The record is from Ensembl.